Molecule: non-coding RNA, 100 nt
Organism: Pelobates cultripes (western spadefoot toad)
Lineage: Eukaryota; Metazoa; Chordata; Amphibia; Anura; Pelobatidae
Source: the annotation of a GenBank genome assembly
UACACAAGAUCCAGCGCACUCACCUAUCCACUAAACAGCAUGUCUGUCAACAUUGAAGUUGCUGUUUAGUGGAUAGGUGAGUGCGCUGGAACUUGUGUAU